RNAcentral lists this ribosomal RNA (328 nucleotides) under uncultured bacterium. Its description in RNAcentral is "bacterial SSU rRNA". It matches the Rfam family "Bacterial small subunit ribosomal RNA", at positions 505 to 832 of the family's 1533-position model. The record is from RNAcentral.
GUGCCAGCAGCCGCGGUAAUACGUAGGUGGCAAGCGUUGUCCGGAAUUAUUGGGCGUAAAGCGUGCGCAGGUGGUUUCUUAAGUCUGAUGUGAAAUCCCCGGGCUUAACUGUGGGGCUUCAUUGCAAACUGGGUGACUUGAGUGCAGAAGAGGAAAGUAGAAUUCCUAGUGUAGCGGUGAAAUGCGUAGAGAUUUGGAAGAAAACCAGUGGCGAAGGCGACUUUCUGGUCUGUAACUGACGCUGAGGCAUGAAAGCAUGGGGAGCAAACAGGAUUAGAUACCCUGGUAGUCCACGCCGUAAACGAUGAGUGCUAGGUGUUGGAGGGUU